Molecule: microRNA precursor, 61 nt
Filed under: Pristionchus pacificus
Lineage: Eukaryota; Metazoa; Nematoda; Chromadorea; Rhabditida; Neodiplogasteridae
Description: mir-8364 microRNA precursor family
Rfam family: mir-8364 microRNA precursor family
Source: Rfam by way of RNAcentral
UCUUCAUUUCACGUGCUCUCUCACCGACCAGAGUGACGAGAGAGUGUGUGAAAUUAAGAGA